AUGACAUGUACGCCUGUCAUAUACUCUAAAAGGGAUUGUGUCUCUACAAUUAAUAUAGUCUUGAAAAAAGUGUCCUGCUCUUUCAUGCCAAUGUUAACAGAAAUGAUAGCACCUUCCCACCCACUGCAUGGGUGUUUACACUGCGAGGACACGCUCUGUAGCUAAGAAUGUCCUGGCCGAGUGGUUGAGACUGGGAAAAGCUAUGACUGCAGCCUGGGUGCCAGCUUAUUCUGGUUACCCCACCUUAUCAUGAAUGACGUCAGUGUGACAUGACUGUUCCUCUGUCUUUGUUUGCAAUUACAUAUGCUGUCCUUGCAGAUAAGUGACAUAAGAACAGAGCAGGUAUCUAAGCGCUAGUUGUCUCAUAGGCAUUGGGCAUCUGGGUUCUUGUUUGUCACAGCUAAGUACUGCAAAACUCUCAAAGAAAUUUUCCAAAUGUGCUGAUGGUGUUUGUGCCCCUGCUAAUUUCGCAUGUGCUCUCCAGCUUCAUGCUUGAGUGUUUCUCCUCCAGUGUUUCCAGCACAGAACCAAUUUUAUGUCACUGAGAUACUCCAAGCUAUUGUAUUGUUUACACAAAUAUUGUUUGGUUACAUCUGCUUAUUUUCUCCUAAUUUGAAUGUAACUGUUUUGCAUGUCCCUGUUGGCCUACUGAGAAUGACAAGACAGCACUUACCUGAGGUAGCAAUGAGCAAUCUGGUGCUUUGUGGUGCUUUGCUGGCUGACAUCAUCAGGAAGGAAAUGUAGCACAUUUGAUGUAGACAGUUAUUCUCACAGGAGUCUGGGACGUGCUGAAAUGGCAUUCAGAGCUCGUGUGCUCUAACUCCAGUCACACCUGCAGGUCCAGCUGCCACGGUCACCUUCGGUGUUGAAGCACACUGGGCACGUCCACUGACAGUUUACUGCAGAGCUCCCAAGCACUUGAAUUGAAAUCGCACCUGGGAAGUUGUCCUCCUAACAUGCUGCCUGAUGACUAGAGCCCGACACCGGAGAGUUUCAUCCCCGCUUAUACCAUGAUGUUACCUGUUCCUGAACCCUGACAGUUUCAGCCCACCAUACCAGCUCAAAAUGGAAACAGUACUUGUUUAUGCUACAGCAACUCCAGAGCAAAUAAAUAAUCCCACAGCGUCAUUAUAAAAUAAUUUCAGGAUACUACCAAGCUCCCUUACCAUAGCAGGCAUUUCACAGAAUCACAGAGCAGUAGGGUUGGAAGGGACAUCUGGAGAUCAUCUAGUCCAACCCCCCGUGCUAGAGCAGGAUCACCUAGAGCAGGUUGCACAGGAUCACGUCCAGGUGGAUUUUGAAUAUCUCCAGAGAAGGAGACUCCACAACCUCUCUGGGCAGCCUGUUCCAGUGCUCUGUCACCCUCAGAGUAAAGAAGUUUUUCCUCAUGUUCAGACAGAACUUCCUGUGUUCCAGUUUGUGCCCGUUGCCCCUUGUCCUGUUGCUGGGCACCACUGAAAAGAGUCUGGCCCCAUCUUCUUGAUACCUGCCCUUUAGAUAUUUAUAAGUGUUGAUCAGAUCCCCUCUCAGCCUUCUCUUCUCCAGGCUAAACAGACCCAGCUCUCUCAGCCUUUCCUCAUAUGAAAGAUGCUUCAGUUCCCUCAUCAUCCUUGUAGCCUUCCGCUGGACUCUCUCCAGUAGUUCCCUGUCUUUCUUGAACUGGGGAGCCCAGAACUGGACACAGUACUCUAGAUGUAGUACUGUGU
Molecule: long non-coding RNA, 1706 nt
Organism: Grus americana (Whooping crane)
Lineage: Eukaryota; Metazoa; Chordata; Aves; Gruiformes; Gruidae
Exons: 4
Source: RefSeq, a predicted model, not a curated record